RNAcentral lists this ribosomal RNA (570 nucleotides) under uncultured bacterium. Its description in RNAcentral is "partial 16S ribosomal RNA". It matches the Rfam family "Bacterial small subunit ribosomal RNA", at positions 356 to 918 of the family's 1533-position model. The record is from RNAcentral.
UGGGAAUUUUGGACAAUGGGCGCAAGCCUGAUCCAGCCAUGCCGCGUGCGGGAAGAAGGCCUUCGGGUUGUAAACCGCUUUUGUCAGGGAAGAAAUCUUCUGAGUUAAUACCUCGGGAGGAUGACGGUACCUGAAGAAUAAGCACCGGCUAACUACGUGCCAGCAGCCGCGGUAAUACGUAGGGUGCAAGCGUUAAUCGGAAUUACUGGGCGUAAAGCGUGCGCAGGCGGUUUUGUAAGACAGAGGUGAAAUCCCCGGGCUCAACCUGGGAACUGCCUUUGUGACUGCAAGGCUUGAGUGCGGCAGAGGGGGAUGGAAUUCCGCGUGUAGCAGUGAAAUGCGUAGAUAUGCGGAGGAACACCGAUGGCGAAGGCAAUCCCCUGGGCCUGCACUGACGCUCAUGCACGAAAGCGUGGGGAGCAAACAGGAUUAGAUACCCUGGUAGUCCACGCCCUAAAACGAUGUCAACUGGUUGUUGGGAAGGUUCCUUCUCAGUAACGUAGCUAACGCGUGAAGUUGACCGCCUGGGGAGUACGGCCGCAAGGUUGAAACUUAAAUGAAUUGACGGGG